AAGUUUUCAAAUAUUAUAGAAUAGAAAAGUCGGUUUCAAACAUAACAAAGUUGGGAGAAAGGUAAUAAAGUCUUUUUAAUAUAAGAUAAUCUCUCGUAUUUCAUAUCCCAUCUUCACCAAUUUCUGAAUUAUGUUGAAUUAUACGAAAUAUAAAAAUUACUGUAUACAUAAAUAUUGGACAUUUGUAGUAAUGAUUUAAAUGAUUUGACAAAUUUCGACGUAUUCGACGAAGUGAUGUAUUGUUGUGAUGUCACAAUUAAUUAACAAUAGCUUCAAAUUGUUUCUUUUUCUAUUGUUGGUAGCCAAGACAAAGAUUUCUCUGAAAAUUUUUAUUGUUUUUCUCUUCAUUUUGAAGUCUUUCGACAGAAUUUUGGUUUCGAAAAGAAGUUUAAUUACAAACUGUAAGAUAUAUUUCACGUUUGAAUAACAAUACGAGAUAACGUAAAUGACAAAGUAUCCCGUGUAAUCAUAAAGAAGCUAUUUCUUAUAUAAAAUCAGUACAGGAAUAAGAUUGUAUCAAAUACAUGCAAUGUCCAGCGAAAUCAUGAAUAUCAUUCCUGGUUGAUGCUGCUUCAAAAUCGAAAUUUCUUUUGACAUUUCUUCCUGGUGACACAAGAAAGAAGAAUUGGGAUAAGUAGCACUUUCUUUACUUUUAAUAUCGAUAAUAAUUAAACGGUUAUAUCAAACUUUUGUAAAUUUGAAUUAUAUUUUAAUAAUAUUUUACGUUAUAAUUUUACAAAUAAAUAUACUCAAUACAUUAUUUAAUAACUACCUCAAAUUAUCUUCUUUCGUAAAGUACGUUUGUAGAAUGAAUGUUUCGUAUAUAUUAGGCUAAAUAUAUCAGGGAAACAGUUAAUAUAAUUCAACUCACUUUCCAGAUCUUCAACUGAUUGUAGAGAGAUGACAAUAUGGGAAAUUAACGCCCAAAAUCACUAAUACAUACUCCUUACAUUAACGCGAAGGUGAAGCAAUAUCUUUCUCAAUUAAACACAUUUAUAAAUGUUCAACACACAAAAUAUCCAACAAAUUUCAAUGAAGGAAAACAAAGAAAAAACUUAUUCCUUCUUCAACUAUUCCUACAGUACAUGCAGCAAUUUAGUAAUAAUUUAGCCUACACUUCACACAAUCUCAAUAUACAAGAGUUUAAAUACAGUUUACAUGCAGUGUUAAAUGUUUGACAAAUUUAUAUGAUAGGUUAAUUUGUAAUAAAACAGCUUAAUUUGCAUUUUUACAUAGAUUAAAUAGGAAUGUGUUCCGUUUCUAUUUAACCCAUAUUUAACUACGGUAUUAAAAAUUUAAAAAGAAAUAUACUGGUUCUACAGUUUUACAUCUGUAUCUAGAAUUUAAUCGGAUAAUUGUUACUGAAUGCCAGAAUGGUAUAAUUAUUUUCAUCUGUAAAGAGUAAAGAAUUAAAAUAAUACAUCCGUUUCUGGACCGAAGACUAAAUGGCAGAAGCUUAUGAGUAAGCUAUCGAUUUCUGAAAGGAUAUUGGAAGAAAGGAAGAGUGAUGCUUGAUGAAGGAAUAAUUAAGAAAGUUUUAAUGCUGAUUACAGAAUUUCCUGGAUAGAAGAAACUUAAUAAUUAUCACUGCAAAUAAGUUUGUUUCAUUAUCUAAUAAUAACUUGUAUAAGCUUAUUUAUAACCACGAAUACAUUUUAUAAAUUUAGAUAAAGAUAAUAUUAAGAAGUAUGAAUUUAUAAUAAGAAAGAUUUUCGUCGUUUAAGUAUAGAAGUAUAAAUUUGUGUAAAUAAAUAAUUAUUUAAUGCUUAUAUAUUAGGCCGUUGAAUAAGUAAUGCCUCCUUGUAAAUGGUUCGCGCAGAAGUUGCUUAGCAAGCAAUUAAAAAAAUAAUUCUUUGCUUCUUUAGUUACAUUCUAAUGCAUGGUAGAAUAUGAAACGUGUUUUAGUUGAAAUUUCAUUGUUUAAAAAGUAACAUCCAGUUAAGGAUGAUACUUUACUUUUUCAAUUAUGUUGGAGCGAAUGAAACAACGAUCACUUACCAAAUUG
Molecule: long non-coding RNA, 2005 nt
Organism: Centruroides sculpturatus (bark scorpion)
Lineage: Eukaryota; Metazoa; Arthropoda; Arachnida; Scorpiones; Buthidae
Exons: 3
Source: RefSeq, a predicted model, not a curated record